CAAUAGCGUAUAUUAAAGUUGUUGCAGUUAAAAAGCUCGUAGUUGGAUUUGUGGCGUACGGUGUGUUCCGGGCACUUGUUGCCUGAGUAACCUGCUGUUGCCAUCCUUGGGUGGAACCUGUGUGGCAUUAGGUUGUCGUGCAGGGGAUGCCCAUCAUUUACUGUGAAAAAAUUAGAGUGUUCAAAGCAGGCUUAUGCCGUUGAAUAUAUUAGCAUGGAAUAAUGAGAUAGGACUUUUUUGCUAUUUUGUUGGUUUGCGCAAAGAGGUAAUGAUUAAUAGGGACAGUUGGGGGUAUUCGUAUUCCAUUGUCAGAGGUGAAAUUCUUGGAUUUUUGGAAGACGAACUACUGCGAAAGCAUUUACCAAGGAUGUUUUCAUUA
Molecule: ribosomal RNA, 379 nt
Filed under: uncultured eukaryote
Lineage: Eukaryota
Description: partial 18S ribosomal RNA
Rfam family: Eukaryotic small subunit ribosomal RNA
Source: RNAcentral